CAUUGCAGAUAUUUUUUUUUCUCUAUUCAAAUACAAUUAAUAAGUAGUAAAAGUAUGAUUGUAUUUAAUUCUAUAUAUUGUACAUUGCUGAUAAAAACUCUGUCUCUUAUUAUCAAUUGAUUUAAAAAUCACAUGGGUCCAAAUGACCGGACCGAAAAGAUCAGGGUUAGAUAUAAGAAGGCACCCAUUCAUAUCGUUUACAGUUAAAAGUGAAAGUAGGCUAGUUGGUUUAAAGAUACUUUUUGUUGUAGAUAUAGUUCUGUGCAGGAAGUUUUUUGUUACUAAAAGAUCAAGCAUUUGUACAUAGUCAACAUUCGAUAUGGAUUCAAAAUAAUCUGUUUUGCAGGCAGGUAUAUUUUAUAAACAAAUUGAGUACGUAGGCCUAACCAUCGCAAGUGUGUGAAGUAUUCAUCCGCUGAAACCAAGACAUAUUGUUUACAAUUAAAAGUAUGAACAUUGUCAAAGACAUCAACUAUUUUUUUUAUCUGCCAACUUCUUAUAUUGACGUACAGUUCUGUUCUAAAUGGAAGCAAGUCUUCUUUUAUUCCUCAAAUACAAAAGAAAACGUUGCACUCAUUUUCACUGAUUUAUUGAUAGCAUGCCUUGUUCAGCUCAUUACACUUCCGGUGGACGUGGACGCUUUCGAGCUUUGCUCGACGCCAUAAAAAAGCUAUAGUACUUGAUUAUUUCCAGUUCUAGAACGUUUAAAUGUGCCCCAGGGGUCAUAUCCUAUAUAUCAUUUUCUGUUUCAAGGGGACCAAGACCACCCCAAGACUCAUGACCUACAUACAGCUUGAUGCACCUUGACACAAGGAACAAGAAUAUACAGGGGAAAAGGAAGUGACAGCAGACGUUCGGAUGUGCAAAGUGCACUGCAGCUGAAGAAUAACAAUCAUCACUGAAAUUUUGAGAAACAGAGACAGAAGCUAGGCUAAGCGAAAUUACGUGGAACCCCAUGGCAUAAACAUCAAAGUAAUAAUGAAUGUACUUUCAUCUAUACAUUUGUCCACUACGAUAUGAAGAAACAUCGCCCAUUGUUUCCUCAGCCACGUUUAAUACCCGUACUUGGUCAAGAAGAGUCACCACCAGUGAGGAAGGUUCCUACGUGCCAAGACUCCCGGCUUACCUCGAUAUUUGGACAGUGACUUUAAUUCUUUUAAUCAUUUCUUUGAUUCCAAGAACAAUUGAUUAUCAGUGAACUAUAAUUGGACUGUGAUAUUAUAUCAGAACUAUUAAUCAUAUGAAAUAUUAUUAUUUUUAUUAUUUGUUGCAUAACUUUAUUAAACUUAAUUUAUUUACAUUAGUACUCUGU
Magallana angulata is the source of this 1312-nucleotide long non-coding RNA. RefSeq lists it as uncharacterized. NCBI's taxonomy places the organism in Eukaryota, Metazoa, Mollusca, Bivalvia, Ostreida, Ostreidae. The record is from RefSeq and is a predicted model, not a curated record. The transcript is spliced from 3 exons.